Molecule: ribosomal RNA, 945 nt
Filed under: uncultured bacterium
Lineage: Bacteria
Description: bacterial SSU rRNA
Rfam family: Bacterial small subunit ribosomal RNA
Source: RNAcentral
AUGCAAGUCGAGGGGAAACGACAUCGAAAGCUUGCUUUUGAUGGGCGUCGACCGGCGCACGGGUGAGUAACGCGUAUCCAACCUGCCCAUCACUUGGGGAUAACCUUGCGAAAGUAAGACUAAUACCCAAUGACGUCUCUAGAAGACAUCUGAAAGAGAUUAAAGAUUUAUCGGUGAUGGAUGGGGAUGCGUCUGAUUAGCUUGUUGGCGGGGUAACGGCCCACCAAGGCGACGAUCAGUAGGGGUUCUGAGAGGAAGGUCCCCCACAUUGGAACUGAGACACGGUCCAAACUCCUACGGGAGGCAGCAGUGAGGAAUAUUGGUCAAUGGACGGGAGUCUGAACCAGCCAAGUAGCGUGCAGGAUGACGGCCCUAUGGGUUGUAAACUGCUUUUAUAAGGGAAUAAAGUUAGUCUCGUGAGACUUUUUGCAUGUACCUUAUGAAUAAGGACCGGCUAAUUCCGUGCCAGCAGCCGCGGUAAUACGGAAGGUCCGGGCGUUAUCCGGAUUUAUUGGGUUUAAAGGGAGCGUAGGCCGGAGAUUAAGCGUGUUGUGAAAUGUAGACGCUCAACGUCUGCACUGCAGCGCGAACUGGUUUCCUUGAGUACGCACAAAGUGGGCGGAAUUCGUGGUGUAGCGGUGAAAUGCUUAGAUAUCACGAAGAACUCCGAUUGCGAAGGCAGCUCACUGGAGCGCAACUGACGCUGAAGCUCGAAAGUGCGGGUAUCGAACAGGAUUAGAUACCCUGGUAGUCCGCACGGUAAACGAUGGAUGCCCGCUGUUGGUCUGAAUAGGUCAGCGGCCAAGCGAAAGCAUUAAGCAUCCCACCUGGGGAGUACGCCGGCAACGGUGAAACUCAGAGGAAUUGACGGGGGCCCGCACAAGCGGAGGAACAUGUGGUUUAAUUCGAUGAUACGCGAGGAACCUUACCCGGGCUUGAAUUGCA